RNAcentral lists this unclassified non-coding RNA (634 nucleotides) under Hevea brasiliensis (rubber tree). The record is from RNAcentral. Lineage: Eukaryota; Viridiplantae; Streptophyta; Magnoliopsida; Malpighiales; Euphorbiaceae.
AUUGAACUCAAUUUGAGAAAGAACUAAGUAGUCUGUAUUUUGAUUUACAAUGUGUUUCAUUAUCAUAUAAUUGUUUGAUAGUUUGACGUGUAGUUCAUUCCAACUCAUCUUAAAUUGCAGUUUUGUUUCGUUUUGUUUUGUUUGGGUGAGAGGGGAUUUUUGAUGUUCAUCAACUGGUUUAAAACUAAUUAUGUACUAAUUGGAAAGUGGAGCCGGAUCAGUUCAAAUGAUAUUUUAAACCCUCUCUUGUUUUUCUAGUUUUAAGCUUUCUUAACUGAAGUGGUCAAGCAAGAGAUUGAAGGAGCUUCUCUUUUCACAGGGUUUCUGCAUUAGCAUAAAAUUUAAGUGAUAAAAUCGUAUGGCAGUUGAUCCAAAUAUUGUUACUCUUUUAUAAUGUAUCUGUAUGUCACUUGAAGGAUUGAUUACCACAUUUGAGUGGUCAACCUUAUAUUUUCGUGUCCAUUCUAACAAGAAAAACUCAGAUUAUUUGUGAAAAUCGCUUUUGCAUAGUUGUCUUUCAUUGAACUUUUAAUUUCUUGGAUUGUGGUUGAGGCCCCUUUCAAGUCAAUGUUGAAGGCCAUCAACCUCUAUGUUCUUAGACCAUAAUACUUUCAGUAUCAAUUACUCAUUUGGA